RNAcentral lists this ribosomal RNA (459 nucleotides) under uncultured bacterium. Its description in RNAcentral is "partial 16S ribosomal RNA". It matches the Rfam family "Bacterial small subunit ribosomal RNA", at positions 338 to 795 of the family's 1533-position model. The record is from RNAcentral.
CCUACGGGUGGCUGCAGUGAGGAAUAUUGGUCAAUGGUCGGGAGACUGAACCAGCCAAGCCGUGUGAGGGAUGAAGGUACAGAGUAUCGUAAACCUCUUUUGUCAGGGAACAAAGGCGGGGACGUGUCCCCGGAUGAGUGUACCUGAAGAAAAAGCAUCGGCUAACUCCGUGCCAGCAACCGCGGUAAUACGGAGGAUGCGAGCGUUGUCCGGAUUUAUUGGGGUUAAAGGGGGCGGAGGCGGUCUGUUAAGUCAGCGGCAAAAGCCCGGGGCUCAACCCCGGCCCGUCGUUGAAACUGACAGUCUCGAGUUGGAGAGAAGGAUGAGGAAUGCGCGGUGUAGCGGUGAAAUGCAUAGAUAUCGCGCAGAACUCCGAUUGAGAAGGCAGCAUGCCGGCUCCACACUGACGCUGAGGCACGAAAGCGUGGGUAUCGAACAGGAUUAGAUACCCCUGUAGUC